RNAcentral lists this unclassified non-coding RNA (225 nucleotides) under uncultured Lysobacteraceae bacterium. Its description in RNAcentral is "uncultured Xanthomonadaceae bacterium contains 16S-23S intergenic spacer region". Lineage: Bacteria; Pseudomonadati; Pseudomonadota; Gammaproteobacteria; Lysobacterales; Lysobacteraceae. The record is from RNAcentral.
UCCGGUUUGUCACCGGCGGUCUCCUUAGAGUUCCCACCAUUACGUGCUGGCAACUAAGGACAAGGGUUGCGCUCGUUGCGGGACUUAACCCAACAUCUCACGACACGAGCUGACGACAGCCAUGCAGCACCUGUGUUCGAGUUCCCGAAGGCACCAAUCCAUCUCUGGAAAGUUCUGUAGAUGUCAAGGCCAGGUAAGGUGGGGAUGACGUCAGAGAGUACGUCC